GCCAAGCCCUGUGCUGUUGAUGGGUAAACAAGGUCCUCAGAGUGAGGCCUCCCAGCCUUGACUGUUCUCAAGCUGCCUAGGGUAGACUGCAUUUUCUUUGUUCACAUAUGCCAGCCCAACUAAUUGUAAUUUCCAGAAGCCAUCCUUGGAAUGGAGGGGGUACGGGUCGGUCCAGAGACUGUAAUCCAGAUGUUCUCAUCAUGGAAUAGGGGUGGUGAGGCAGCAGAAUCACCUGGAAAAAGUUGUAAACUGCGUGCCUCAGCCCAUUUCAGGAAAAGAGCAGUCUGAUUUAUUAGGUCACCGGAGUCCUAGGAAACCUUUUCUUUCUAUUUUAAGUUCCUGUGUUACCUUGCCAUACAUCCCUGCUGGAGAAGCGUCUUGGGGGCUCAUUCUCCUUAUAUUCUGGAAGACAGUUCCUGGGGAACCAAGGCUGCACAGACCCAGGACUUACAUCCAGAUGCCUGGCUUCUGCUGCACGGUAUUUGCACAGUGCUUGCAGCCUCCAGGAUCCCUGGUGUAGAAGCCUGUGCCAGGGCCUGCAGGUGUGAGGCUAGAUGGGGCUUGGUGCCUGAGAAGACAAGGCCUGAAAGAAGGAACAGCCCUGGAACUUGCCACACUUUUGACUCAUCUGCAGCUCGACAGCCCCAGGCAGGAAGUAAGAACGGUACCCGAGUGACAGCAGAUGCUGUGACUUGAGUUCACAGUCUCGCACAGCCCGCUAGCAGAAAGCAAAAGAAUUUUGAUUAGACACCAGCUGACCAACUCCAUGACCUGGGAAAAGACACACAGCCUCUGCAGCUCUGUUAUCUUAGAAGCAGCAGAUAUUGAAGGUGUACUUUGAGGAAUAUUGAGGUAAUGUAUGAAUGUGCCUCUGCAGGCACCUGGCACCCCAUCCACCUGACUUCAGUCAAGAUGCUCCAGGAUUGCCAAGGCCAGCCAGCCACCACGAGCGUCCUGAUCAGAUCACUGAUACAGCAUUUACUGCCUCACUGAAACCACCCAUUUACUACUGCUCUCUAUCUCCCAUUACACUCCUGAAAGACAGCAACCCAUACCAGUACUGCAGCUCCGUCCCUGCACUGGCAAUGGAUUUGGUAGAAGUCCCAUGGAAGGAUUCCUGGAGAGAGCAUCCUGACUCUGCUUCUCCAUCCAGAAGUGAUGUGGCCAGUCAACUACUACUACUUAGUUUGGUGGACAUCUCAGGAACCAAAACUAGGUGUGGAUGUGGGUGGCAUGUAUGUGAUGUAAUUGGCUGGCCACCUCUCACAUUACCAUCUAGCUUAUAAAUGUCCUUGCACUUACAGGGAUAUUUCACAGUUCAGCUGGGCUUGGAGAGGAUCAGGGAAUUCAGUAACUAGCUUAUACAUAAACCUAAGUUGUCGUGAGUACUCCCUUAUGUGGUUUUUGCAUCUUUUCACAUUAGCCACUUUGCCUCUAAGGCUAGGUGAUGGUCUUGGCUCCAGAGGUAAAUUGUGUUUUAGGCUAUACAACCCAGUAACUGUAAUUAAAAUCAUGAUGUGAGAUUCAGUGUACAUUUGGGAAAAAGCAAUCAUUAGGCAGUGAAGAAGCAUGUAUUUUAGACCCUUUGACUCUUCAUGUGAUUGGCAUGAUUUCUUUAUUUUUUUAAGAGUUUAUGAUGUGUAACUGACCUAAGCACUUUACAUCACAUUAUCUUCAUGACAAGCCUGUGACAUAGGGACUGUAAACAGUUGGCCCCAGGUCACACACCUAGAAAGGGAUGGCACUGGGAUUUGAAUCCCUGUACUAUGAUUCCGGAAUCUGCAGCUUUAAAUCGUGUCAUUACUUCUCUUCUAAUUCUGUUAAGCAUUUGACAUUUCCAGUAUUUAGAAGUGCGAUGCUUCCAUCUUAAUGAGAACUUGUAUAACCCUCAUGGUUUUUUAUAGGCUUUUCUUUUUAAUAGGUUUUUAUAGUGUCACUGACCUGGUGUCUGACAAACAGUCUUUUUCUCCAUCCAUCUGCAUAAUAAACUUAAGAAACCAGGCCA
Molecule: long non-coding RNA, 2005 nt
Filed under: Neogale vison (American mink)
Lineage: Eukaryota; Metazoa; Chordata; Mammalia; Carnivora; Mustelidae
Description: Neovison vison (American mink) lncRNA (ENSNVIG00000007721.1)
Source: RNAcentral